AGGAAUGAGUGAGCAUGCAGAUUCACAGCAUCGUGGAGGAGAAUGUGAAAGAAGAGAAGAAAAGACAAGCGACUCAUGCAACACGUUCAGGAAGAGAUUCAACGAGGGACGGGGGGGAAGGUUUAUCCUGCUGCACACGUGUGAGGAAGAUGAAAGAGCCACCAGGGGGCAGACUGCAGCAGCUUGUCUCAGCUCGGAUGAAACAACACGAGACGAGUCGAGUCCAAACACGUCGACAUUUUCAAGUCUUCACUCAUUCAGAAGAACUUCAGCCAAGAGGAACUAGAAAGGAUAUGCUGAGUGACAUGAUGAUGUCACAUGGAAGAUGACCUGUGACCUUCAGGUCACGACCCCCGAGCCCCUGCGGGUGGACCCCGUGCGUCUCGCUCUCGGCUCACCGUGUUCCCCAGCCGGUUCCUCCAGGACUUCCACAGCAGCCCGUCCCGGCUGUAGUUGAGGCGGUACGCCCGCGCGUACUCGUUCCCGGAGCUUCGGGCGUACCGACCCUGCGUGCCGACCACGGUCAGGAAGGUCAGCCGGCCCAGGUCCACCUGAGGUCACAAGGUCACCAGGAAGCUGCAGAGGUCAAAGGAUGCAUGUCGAGAGUUACACAGCUGAGAGGAGUGAGUCGAACACAGUGAAGGAGAAACAUCCUCAGACGAAGACAGAAACCAGGUGUCGUCUCUUCGUCUCUUCGUACGAACUUUAUCUGAUUCUGAUUGGCUGAACUCUGUCUGACACCAACAGGAAGAGGAGGGUCCGUUAGAUCAAGGAGAUCUGAUCAGUUCAGGAUCAGAUCAGGAGGAUCUUUUAUUGGAAGCGUGUGAAGCUCCUGAAGACGCUCGGAGAUCAUCUUGUUGACUUCCUGGAUCCUCCUCCUCAUCAUUAUCAUCAUCCUACUCAUCGUCCUCAUCAUCAUCCUCCUCAUUAUCGUCCUCCUCCUCAUCAUCCUCCUCCUCCUCAUCAUCAUCAUCCUCCUGAUCAUUA
Long non-coding RNA from Scophthalmus maximus (turbot), 987 nucleotides. RefSeq lists it as uncharacterized. Lineage: Eukaryota; Metazoa; Chordata; Actinopteri; Pleuronectiformes; Scophthalmidae. The transcript is spliced from 6 exons. The record is from RefSeq and is a predicted model, not a curated record.